GGACUAGUACAAGCAGCCACACACACACAUACACGUGCAUGCACGUCGCUAUAUAAGUGCAAUAAUCUUGGACGCGACGUUAAACCCAAUUUCACCUCACCUCACCCAAACCGUUUGUGGACCCCUGUAAAUAUUUGGCAAGCGUCGCUCCUGAUUAUACGGGCGACUCAGACAGACAUGGUCCCUUUAUAAACCCAAUAAGAUGCUCUCUGUCAUGAAUAAGAACAGGUUGCAAACAAAAUACACAAAAUCUACAGCAAAGAACGCACAUCAAAUCCUAGCAACGAAACCAAGCUCAGGUAGACCACUGGCGUUUUUACAGUACUACAUGCGGCAGUAUUUGGAAAGGGACCUCAUACUUACAACUGAAUUCUAUUAAAACAAUCGGAAGCAUCGUUGCACCUGCCUAGUAAAUGAAGUGAACAUUCUAUAAUAUACACCAAAUAACUUCCUUCAAGCAAAUAGUUACUGAUGGCACAAACGCAGUCUCAUGUUAUAACUACGUCUGCGACUUGCUGAUUUAAUUUCC
Long non-coding RNA from Haliotis rufescens (red abalone), 529 nucleotides. RefSeq lists it as uncharacterized. Lineage: Eukaryota; Metazoa; Mollusca; Gastropoda; Lepetellida; Haliotidae. The transcript has 2 exons. The record is from RefSeq and is a predicted model, not a curated record.